UACGAAGGGGGCUAGCGUUGCUCGGAAUCACUGGGCGUAAAGCGCACGUAGGCGGAUUUCUAAGUCAGGGGUGAAAUCCUGGAGCUCAACUCCAGAACUGCCUUUGAUACUGGGAAUCUCGAGUCCGGGAGAGGUGGGUGGAACUGCGAGUGUAGAGGUGAAAUUCGUAGAUAUUCGCAAGAACACCAGUGGCGAAGGCGGCUCACUGGCCCGGUACUGACGCUGAGGUGCGAAAGCGUGGGGAGCAAACAGG
RNAcentral lists this ribosomal RNA (253 nucleotides) under uncultured bacterium. Its description in RNAcentral is "partial 16S ribosomal RNA". It matches the Rfam family "Bacterial small subunit ribosomal RNA", at positions 524 to 776 of the family's 1533-position model. The record is from RNAcentral.